Onychostoma macrolepis is the source of this 233-nucleotide long non-coding RNA. RefSeq lists it as uncharacterized. The record is from RefSeq and is a predicted model, not a curated record. Lineage: Eukaryota; Metazoa; Chordata; Actinopteri; Cypriniformes; Cyprinidae. The transcript is spliced from 3 exons.
CAAGAAGCAGAUGAAGAUGAACUCUGAUCUCUGUGAAACAGACCACGAGGGUGUGAAGAUGAUCUCAGGCUGUGACAAACACACAAUAACGGCCUGUGUCUUCAGUCUUCAUACAGUUUCAUGAACAUCUUUUCUUUUCAAGACAGCAGUGUGUGUCUGACACUCAUGUGAUCAUCUGAUGAGCAUCUCAAUACUGGAAGGUAUUUGUCAUUUUCAUGGGACUGAGAACAAGA